RNAcentral lists this unclassified non-coding RNA (222 nucleotides) under Hevea brasiliensis (rubber tree). The record is from RNAcentral. Lineage: Eukaryota; Viridiplantae; Streptophyta; Magnoliopsida; Malpighiales; Euphorbiaceae.
AUACAUCUUAAAGGUGGGAUGAGUGAGUUGUGUAAUAAGAACGGAAAAGAAGCUACGAGCUGGAAAUACAUGGAAAAGAAGGCCCUUUCAAAGUUGGGUUUGACAUCUGGAGUGAGGAAGGUGUACACUAUGGUUGAGAAGUUUAAACAGAGCAGGUUAUCCACUGAUUCUGCCCAAGCCAAAAACAAUAAAAACUUGAGGAAACGAAGAUCAACCGCGACC